Molecule: long non-coding RNA, 469 nt
Organism: Dendroctonus ponderosae (mountain pine beetle)
Lineage: Eukaryota; Metazoa; Arthropoda; Insecta; Coleoptera; Curculionidae
Exons: 2
Source: RefSeq, a predicted model, not a curated record
GGACAAAACUAUAAAUUUCGAGAACCUCAAACGACUUCCCUUGGAGUGGUGCCUGAGGAGGUGGUUUGCCAUCCAAGGGGGGUGAUUGAGGUGUUCUGUGUUCAGCCCUUCAUUUGUGUCAUCAUAUGUCAUAAGUCAUAAGACCACUUCUUUAUCUAUGCAUAAGACUCAUAACCAUAGAUAAAGACCUCAUAUCAACCGUUUACAAGUGUACCGUACUUCGAGCUAGUUGCUUAGUGAUGUUGUUUCAGCUGCAGUUUUUAUCACGAGAGCUGGACUUGACACAGGAGGCGAAUUAGCUCUACAAUAUGCCACUGACGGAUCGAUUGUUGUAUUCGUAUUGCAAACCAAACAAACAAUGAGGAAACGGCGAAGUUAAUAAAGAUAAAUGACACUCAUAUUGUAUAUAUAGUUCCCUCAGUAUAAUUAAUUAUUAAUGUUUGUCAGAAUACAUUCGACUUGUAGCAAA